AGAGUUUGAUCCUGGCUCAGGAUGAACGCUGACAGAAUGCUUAACACAUGCAAGUCGAUUCAAUUUACCUUCGGGUAUUGAGGAUGGCGGACGGGUGAGUAACGCGUAAGGAACUUGCCUCUUGGUCUGGGACAACUGUUGGAAACGACAGCUAAUACCGGAUAUUAUGAGAUUCUCGCAUGAGAAACUUAUGAAAGCUAUAUGCGCCAAGAGAGAGCCUUGCGUUCCAUUAGCUAGUUGGUGGGGUAACGGCCCACCAAGGCGACGAUGGAUAGCCGGCCUGAGAGGGUGAACGGCCACAAGGGGACUGAGACACGGCCCUUACUCCUACGGGAGGCAGCAGUGGGGAAUAUUGGACAAUGGGCCACAAGCCUGAUCCAGCAAUUCUGUGUGCACGAUGAAGGUCUUCGGAUUGUAAAGUGCUUUCAGUUGGGAAGAAGAAAGUGACGGUACCAACAGAAGAAGCGACGGCUAAAUACGUGCCAGCAGCCGCGGUAAUACGUAUGUCGCAAGCGUUAUCCGGAUUUAUUGGGCGUAAAGCGCGUCUAGGCGGAAAAAUAAGUCUGAUGUUAAAAUGCGGGGCUCAACUCCGUAUUGCGUUGGAAACUGUUUUUCUAGAGUACUGGAGAGGUGGGCGGAACUACAAGUGUAGAGGUGAAAUUCGUAGAUAUUUGUAGGAAUGCCGAUGGAGAAGUCAGCUCACUGGACAGAUACUGACGCUAAAGCGCGAAAGCGUGGGGAGCAAACAGGAUUAGAUACCCUGGUAGUCCACGCCGUAAACGAUGAUCACUAGGUGUUGGGGGUCGAACCUCAGCGCCCAAGCUAACGCGAUAAGUGAUCCGCCUGGGGAGUACGCACGCAAGUGUGAAACUCAAAGGAAUUGACGGG
This 888-nucleotide ribosomal RNA is filed under the name uncultured bacterium. RNAcentral's name for it is "bacterial SSU rRNA". It matches the Rfam family "Bacterial small subunit ribosomal RNA", at positions 8 to 917 of the family's 1533-position model. The record is from RNAcentral.